Melanotaenia boesemani (Boeseman's rainbowfish) is the source of this 75-nucleotide long non-coding RNA. RefSeq lists it as uncharacterized. The record is from RefSeq and is a predicted model, not a curated record. Lineage: Eukaryota; Metazoa; Chordata; Actinopteri; Atheriniformes; Melanotaeniidae. The transcript has 3 exons.
UUUAUGUUUUAUAUAAGGUACUUUGUAUUGUCUUGUACACAAAAUUUGCUAUACAAAUAAACUUGCCUUGCCUAA